GCACCCGUGGCGCAACUGGAUAGCGCACCAGAUUCCGAUUCUGGCGGUUACAGGUUCGAUUCCUGUCGGGUGCGCCA
Molecule: transfer RNA, 77 nt
Filed under: Clostridia bacterium
Lineage: Bacteria; Bacillati; Bacillota; Clostridia
Description: tRNA-Arg
Rfam family: tRNA
About the family: Transfer RNA (tRNA) molecules are approximately 80 nucleotides in length. Their secondary structure includes four short double-helical elements and three loops (D, anti-codon, and T loops).
Source: RNAcentral